This 301-nucleotide ribosomal RNA is filed under the name uncultured bacterium. Its description in RNAcentral is "partial 16S ribosomal RNA". It matches the Rfam family "Bacterial small subunit ribosomal RNA", at positions 509 to 807 of the family's 1533-position model. The record is from RNAcentral.
CAGCAGCCGCGGGAAUACGUAGGGCGCAAGCGUUAUCCGGAAUUAUUGGGCGUAAAGAGCUCGUAGGCGGUUUGUCGCGUCUGCCGUGAAAGUCCGGGGCUCAACCCCGGAUCUGCGGUGGGUACGGGCAGACUAGAGUGAUGUAGGGGAGACUGGAAUUCCUGGUGUAGCGGUGAAAUGCGCAGAUAUCAGGAGGAACACCGAUGGCGAAGGCAGGUCUCUGGGCAUUAACUGACGCUGAGGAGCGAAAGCAUGGGGAGCGAACAGGAUUAGAUACCCGCGUAGUCCCUGUCUCUUAUAC